This 460-nucleotide ribosomal RNA is filed under the name uncultured bacterium. RNAcentral's name for it is "partial 16S ribosomal RNA". It matches the Rfam family "Bacterial small subunit ribosomal RNA", at positions 338 to 795 of the family's 1533-position model. The record is from RNAcentral.
CCUACGGGAGGCAGCAGUGAGGAAUAUUGGUCAAUGGGCGCGAGCCUGAACCAGCCAAGUAGCGUGAAGGUUGACUGCCCUACGGGGUGUAAACUUCUUUUAUAAAGGAAUAAAGUGAGGCCCGUGUGCCUUUUUGUAUGUACUUUAUGAUUAAGGUUCGGCUAACUCCGUGCAAGCGGCCGCGGUAAUACGGAGGAUCCGGGCGUUAUCCGGAUUGAUUGGGUUUAAAGGGAGCGUAGAUGGGUUGUUAAGUCAGUUGUGAAAGUUUGCGGCUCAACCGUAAAAUUGCAAUUGAGACUGGCAGUCUUGAGUACAGUUGAGGUAGGCGGAAUUCGUGGUGUAGCGGUGAAAUGCUUAGAUAUCACGAAGAACUCCGAUUGCGAAGGCAGCUUACUAAACUGCCACUGACAUUGAUGCUCGAAAGUGUGGGUAUCAAACAGGAUUAGAUACCCUGGUAGUC